RNAcentral lists this transfer RNA (74 nucleotides) under Paramuricea clavata. It matches the Rfam family "tRNA". Rfam says of the family: Transfer RNA (tRNA) molecules are approximately 80 nucleotides in length. Their secondary structure includes four short double-helical elements and three loops (D, anti-codon, and T loops). Further hydrogen bonds mediate the characteristic L-shaped molecular structure. tRNAs have two regions of fundamental functional importance: the anti-codon, which is responsible for specific mRNA codon recognition, and the 3' end, to which the tRNAs corresponding amino acid is attached (by aminoacyl-tRNA synthetases). tRNAs cope with the degeneracy of the genetic code in two manners: having more than one tRNA (with a specific anti-codon) for a particular amino acid; and 'wobble' base-pairing, i.e. permitting non-standard base-pairing at the 3rd anti-codon position. The record is from Rfam by way of RNAcentral. Lineage: Eukaryota; Metazoa; Cnidaria; Anthozoa; Malacalcyonacea; Plexauridae.
GACCGCGUAGCUCAGUUGGCAGAGCAUUGGGCUAGUAUUCCAAAGGUCGUAGGUUUCGAAUCCCACCGUGGCCA